GCCGAUAUAGCUCAAUUGGUAGAGCUACUGAAUCGUAAUCAGUGGGUUGUUGGUUCGAGUCCUGCUAUCGGCACCA
Molecule: transfer RNA, 76 nt
Filed under: bacterium
Lineage: Bacteria
Also listed under: 1 other name
Description: tRNA-Thr
Rfam family: tRNA
About the family: Transfer RNA (tRNA) molecules are approximately 80 nucleotides in length.
Source: RNAcentral